RNAcentral lists this long non-coding RNA (612 nucleotides) under Bemisia tabaci. RNAcentral's name for it is "lncRNA ENSSSA3NGG003921". The record is from RNAcentral. Lineage: Eukaryota; Metazoa; Arthropoda; Insecta; Hemiptera; Aleyrodidae.
CCCAAGUUCGCGCCGUUUGCACCACAACCCCCACCUCGUGGCCGACGCCACCAAUCACCGAUUUUAACGCCGAUUCACCCAGCUUUUCAGCGAGGGCAGCACACUACCCCCCUCCUUUUGUCGAAGAAGAAAACGCAAAUAUAUAAAAGUAAUUUCGUGAGUGUGGGUCAGUAAAGCCCCGCGUCGUUUUGAUUUAUUUGCGAUGCAUCUCGAGGCGGUUGAGUGAUGUCGGGCACAUGAUCUCCGCGCCGCGACUCCUGAAGUUACCUUUUUCGUUACCUUAACGUGAGUUUUACCUUUUCCACCUUAAGUGCGGGUUCCUUCCAGUUUCACCGUGUUUUGUCGGGAAAUCUCCUUACUGGUAUCUACAGUUUUUACUAAUAUUUCAUAAGAUCUCAAACCUCAGAAAAUGAAGAGGAUUAUAGCAACUUUACCUUUACUCCUUGCAAUCGCUUCCCAUGUGGCCUUGGUAAGUCCAGUAAUAUUCUUAAACGUUAUUAUUCUUCUUAUUUUGCUCGCGUAUUUAUUAACUUUUUCGGCGGAUAAAUUUACUUACUCCUAGGUGUCUUCAAAAUAUGUGAACACCAGAGCUAAAGUUCCAAUUACGAAUAA